This 479-nucleotide ribosomal RNA is filed under the name uncultured bacterium. Its description in RNAcentral is "bacterial SSU rRNA". It matches the Rfam family "Bacterial small subunit ribosomal RNA", at positions 30 to 507 of the family's 1533-position model. The record is from RNAcentral.
AUUGAACGCUGGCGGCAUGCCUUACACAUGCAAGUCGAACGGCAGCACGGGAGCAAUCCUGGUGGCGAGUGGCGAACGGGUGAGUAAUAUAUCGGAACGUGCCCAGUCGUGGGGGAUAACGUAGCGAAAGCUACGCUAAUACCGCAUACGAUCUACGGAUGAAAGCGGGGGAUCGCAAGACCUCGCGCGAUUGGAGCGGCCGAUAUCAGAUUAGGUAGUUGGUGAGGUAAAGGCUCACCAAGCCGACGAUCUGUAGCUGGUCUGAGAGGACGACCAGCCACACUGGGACUGGGACACGGACCAGACUCCUACGGGAGGCAGCAGUGAGGAAUAUUGGACAAUGGGCGCAAGCCUGAUCCAGCCAUGCCGCGUGCAGGAAGAAGCAUCUAUGGUGUGUAAACUGCUUUUGUACGGGAAGAAACCCUCCCACGUGUGGGAGCUUGACGGUACUGUAGGAAUAAGGAUCGGCUAACUCCGUG